RNAcentral lists this ribosomal RNA (847 nucleotides) under Corynespora thailandica. RNAcentral's name for it is "partial 28S ribosomal RNA". It matches the Rfam family "Eukaryotic large subunit ribosomal RNA", at positions 69 to 931 of the family's 3401-position model. The record is from RNAcentral. Lineage: Eukaryota; Fungi; Ascomycota; Dothideomycetes; Pleosporales; Corynesporascaceae.
CAGGGAUUGCCCUAGUAACGGCGAGUGAAGCGGCAACAGCUCAAAUUUGAAAUCUGGCCCUCUAGGGGGUCCGAGUUGUAAUUUGCAGAGGGUGCUUUGGCGUUGGCAGCGGUCUAAGUUCCUUGGAACAGGACGUCACAGAGGGUGAGAAUCCCGUACGUGGUCGCCAGCCUUCGCCGUGUAAAGCCCCUUCGACGAGUCGAGUUGUUUGGGAAUGCAGCUCUAAAUGGGAGGUAAAUUUCUUCUAAAGCUAAAUACUGGCCAGAGACCGAUAGCGCACAAGUAGAGUGAUCGAAAGAUGAAAAGCACUUUGGAAAGAGAGUCAAAAAGCACGUGAAAUUGUUGAAAGGGAAGCGCUUGCAGCCAGACUUGCCUGUAGUUGCUCAGCCGGGCUCCGGCCCGGUGCACUCUUCUGCGGGCAGGCCAGCAUCAGUUCGGGCGGCCGGAUAAAGACCUCUGUCACGUACCUCUCUUCGGGGAGGACUUAUAGGGGAGGUGGAAUGCGGCCAGUCCGGACUGAGGUCCGCGCAUCUGCUAGGAUGCUGGCGUAAUGGCUGUAAGCGGCCCGUCUUGAAACACGGACCAAGGAGUCUAACAUCUAUGCGAGUGUUUGGGUGUCAAGCCCGAGCGCGUAAUGAAAGUGAACGGAGGUGGGAACCCCUCGCGGGGUGCACCAUCGACCGAUCCUGAUGUCUUCGGAUGGAUUUGAGUAAGAGCAUAGCUGUUGGGACCCGAAAGAUGGUGAACUAUGCUUGAAUAGGGUGAAGCCAGAGGAAACUCUGGUGGAGGCUCGCAGCGGUUCUGACGUGCAAAUCGAUCGUCAAAUUUGGGCAUAGGGGCGAAAGAC